This 312-nucleotide long non-coding RNA is filed under the name Sorghum bicolor (sorghum). RNAcentral's name for it is "long non-coding RNA (SBIC_LNC003997)". The record is from RNAcentral. Lineage: Eukaryota; Viridiplantae; Streptophyta; Magnoliopsida; Poales; Poaceae.
UGGCUCCUGAUGAAAACAGAAGGGACAGUGUGUAGAAGCAGUACAACUUUUUUUUCUUUUUUUCCAGAGUUGAACAAGAAGCGCUCUCUUCGUUGUCCCAAGGUUAUUGGUCUCCAAGAAACAAACAAUAUGAAUGGUAUGUUCUACUUCCACAUCACGAGGGGACACUUAUUUUGCGUCCAAAGUCCAAACACAAAUAUUUAACCCCUCUGCCUUCAUUUUCCCAGAAGAACUGUGUAGCCCUCUAUGCUUCAUAGAGACAUUAAGUACUUUUCCACAGUGCAAUUGUCUCCAUUUAUUUAGUUUGUUCAA